GUGGUGGUGGUGGUGGUGGUGGUGGU
This 26-nucleotide non-coding RNA is filed under the name Callithrix jacchus (white-tufted-ear marmoset). Lineage: Eukaryota; Metazoa; Chordata; Mammalia; Primates; Cebidae. The record is from RNAcentral. RNAcentral also lists the same sequence under 3 other names.